UAUUUUUUACUGAUGACAACUUCAUACACAACUCAGAACAAUUAUGUUGAAAUCUGUUUAACAUGCAUCACCAUCUGAUUUUGACAA
Non-coding RNA from Drosophila virilis, 87 nucleotides. Lineage: Eukaryota; Metazoa; Arthropoda; Insecta; Diptera; Drosophilidae. The record is from Rfam.